Molecule: ribosomal RNA, 450 nt
Filed under: uncultured bacterium
Lineage: Bacteria
Description: bacterial SSU rRNA
Rfam family: Bacterial small subunit ribosomal RNA
Source: RNAcentral
CACUGUCACUCCUACGGGAGGCAGCAGUGGGGAAUAUUCGGCAAUGGGGCAACCCUGACCGAGCCAUGCCGCGUGUGUGAUGAAGGCCCUAGGGUUGUAAAGCACUUUCAACGGUGAAGAUAAUGACGGUAACCGUAGAAGAAGCUCCGGCUAACUUCGUGCCAGCAGCCGCGGUAAUACGAAGGGAGCUAGCGUUGUUCGGAAUUACUGGGCGUAAAGCGCGCGUAGGCGGACUGAUCAGUCAGGGGUGAAAUCCCCGGGGCUCAACCCGGAACUGCCUUUGAUACUGUCAGUCUAGAGUCCGGAAGAGGUGAAUGGAACUCCUAGUGUAGAGGUAGAAAUUCGUAGAUAUUAGUGAAGAACACCAGUGGCGAAGGCGAUUCACUGGUCCGGUACUGACGCUGAGGUGACGAAAGCGUGGGGAGCAAACAGGAUUAGAUACCCUGGUAG